Molecule: ribosomal RNA, 472 nt
Filed under: uncultured bacterium
Lineage: Bacteria
Description: bacterial SSU rRNA
Rfam family: Bacterial small subunit ribosomal RNA
Source: RNAcentral
UGGGGAAUUUUGGACAAUGGGGGCAACCCUGAUCCAGCAAUGCCGCGUGAGUGAAGAAGGCCUUCGGGUUGUAAAGCUCUUUUGUCAGGGAAGAAACGGUAGUAGCGAAUAACUAUUACUAAUGACGGUACCUGAAGAAUAAGCACCGGCUAACUACGUGCCAGCAGCCGCGGUAAUACGUAGGGUGCAAGCGUUAAUCGGAAUUACUGGGCGUAAAGCGUGCGCAGGCGGUUGUGUAAGUCAGAUGUAAAAUCCCCGGGCUCAACCUGGGAAUUGCAUUUGAGACUGCACGGCUAGAGUGUGUCAGAGGGGGGUAGAAUUCCACGUGUAGCAGUGAAAUGCGUAGAUAUGUGGAGGAAUACCGAUGGCGAAGGCAGCCCCCUGGGAUAACACUGACGCUCAUGCACGAAAGCGUGGGGAGCAAACAGGAUUAGAUACCCGAGUAGUCCCUGAGCGGGCUGGCAAGGCGCAU